Molecule: non-coding RNA, 83 nt
Organism: Bombyx mori (domestic silkworm)
Lineage: Eukaryota; Metazoa; Arthropoda; Insecta; Lepidoptera; Bombycidae
Source: Rfam
UUAACUUAAAUUUGUAUGCAGUUGAACGUUUGCUUACGUUUGCCGCUAGGGGCGCUGUUCCAACCGCAUACAAAUUGAAGUUA